Molecule: ribosomal RNA, 1014 nt
Filed under: Triticum aestivum (bread wheat)
Lineage: Eukaryota; Viridiplantae; Streptophyta; Magnoliopsida; Poales; Poaceae
Description: partial small subunit ribosomal RNA
Source: RNAcentral
AUGCCACGUCUACCGCCUCCUCCCUCCUCCCUCCUCCCUCCUCUACCGUCCAUGAUGGCACCACAAUGCCAUGGCAGACCGCGUCGGACAUGGUGGCGUGGCGCAGCGAACCUUGGUCCACGUCGGAGCUCGUCGAGGUCCAUGGGUACUCCCAGCGGGCCAAGGGUAUCGGCACCGGCGGACACCGGCUGGGUCUCCGUCUACCUGCAGAUCCGGGCUAGCCGCGCCAACGACAAUGGCUACACUGUCAUGGCGUGGUUCAGCAUCUGCUUGCUCGGCCAAGACAGGCGAGAGGUCAAUGACAUGGAGCCGAGAGUCUUCCAUGCCAUGCUCGAAUUCAUCUACACCACGGACGCACUGCCUGCCGACGUCGAUGACACGGUGGAGAUGGCCCAACACACCCCCUCGUGGCGGCCGACAUCGACCACCCUGACGCUGGCUGAGCAGCAUGGUUGCCGCGGGCUCAAGGAGGCGUGCAUGUACUACCUCGCGUCACCGGGCAACCUAGAGGCCGUCAUGGUGAGCGAUGGCUUUCCGCACCUAAUGGAGAGCUGCGCCGCCCUCCACAGGGCCAUCAUCGACCAGGCCGCCGUCUCUGGCUCCCACAUUCUUAAGAUAGUCGGCUACUCAGAGACCAAAAUGCUCGGUUACGGCAAUUGCAUCACGCUCACGGUGUUCGUGGUCGGAGGCCCGCGAUGGUGCUUGGAGUACGACCCCGAGGGCCAUAGCUUGGAACACGCCGGGUGGAUAUCCAUCUUUGUCAGGCUCCAUGGCCCGAUGCCAUUCGAGCCACUACCGCCAAAGGGGUGCUCCAAAAAAACUCUAGAAGUUGGAGUUGGGUGGAAAUUACCCACCACUGCCACCAGUAAGUGGAUACCCCUUCGUUUCUCCCCCCUCGACCAAUCAAAUAGAUCCUUUCCACCAAAUGUCUCAUUUUUUAAGCUGGAGCUAGAUGGAAGCCAAACAUUCUCUUUGAUAGUGCUACAACUUCUGGAUGAAACUGCUCCAAAGUAA